AGGGUUUGAUUAUGGCUCAGAAUGAACGCUGGCGGCACGCUUAACACAUGCAAGUCGAACGGGAUCUUCGGAUCUAGUGGCAGACGGGUGAGUAACGCGUGGGAACCUGCCCAGUAGUAGAGAAUAACUUGAGGAAACUUAAGCUAAUACUUUAUACACCCUCCGGGGAAAAGCUUUAUGCGCUAUUGGAUGGGCCCGCGUUAGAUUAGUUUGUUGGUGAGGUAAUGGCUCACCAAGACUACGAUCUAUAGCUGGUCUGAGAGGAUGAUCAGCCACACUGGGACUGAGACACGGCCCAGACUCCUACGGGAGGCAGCAGUGGGGAAUAUUGGACAAUGGGGGCAACCCUGAUCCAGCGAUGCCGCGUGAGUGAUGAAGGCCUUCGGGUUGUAAAACUCUUUCGUCAGGGAAGAUAAUGACGGUACCUGAAGAAGAAGAUCCGGCUAACUCCGUGCCAGCAGCCGCGGUAAUAC
Molecule: ribosomal RNA, 473 nt
Filed under: uncultured bacterium
Lineage: Bacteria
Description: bacterial SSU rRNA
Rfam family: Bacterial small subunit ribosomal RNA
Source: RNAcentral